This 585-nucleotide long non-coding RNA is filed under the name Homo sapiens (human). Its description in RNAcentral is "non-protein coding lnc-RUNX2-5:1". Lineage: Eukaryota; Metazoa; Chordata; Mammalia; Primates; Hominidae. The record is from RNAcentral.
CUUGUGCACACCUGGACUGCACAGCGUGACACCUGGGCGCUGCAUGACAGGAGCAGCCGGCUCACGCCUUUCACGUGCAGUGGCAGUCGCUGCUUCAACAGGGUAUUCUUCCUAUGCUGCCUGCAUGAGCUGCUCCAUGACUACCCCGACUUGGCCAAGGUGGUGAGCUGUCAGUGGUCAUUGACAUCAGAGGCAACUGACAGUUUUUUUUAUCAACAGAAAUUUGGUUGUUGCCCCCAAAGUUCUAUGAAAUAAGAAGACUUGAAAACUCUGCCCCCCUCCCUGAUUUGCAAAAAUUUUGUUUGGAUCAUGAAUUAGAAAGGGUAGAAAGAUGGCUGGGAUCACCUUAUUAACUGCUGAUGGGAUGCCCAGCUUUUACCAGGUUAUGAGCUGGCUUUGUUUACCUAGAAGAUUCACACUUUUUAGAAAAUAUUUUGUCUACUGAAAAAAAGACUGACAAAAUCAUGAAGGCAAGAAAUGUCACUGAGUAGUGAUGUACAAUUGCCAUCUUUACAAUAUCCAUGUGACUAUUCAAAGUAGAAAUACAUUUAUCUUAAGAACUAUAUAGUAAGUAAGAGUCACUUG